This 2903-nucleotide ribosomal RNA is filed under the name human gut metagenome. Its description in RNAcentral is "bacterial LSU rRNA". It matches the Rfam family "Bacterial large subunit ribosomal RNA". The record is from RNAcentral.
UCAAGUUAUGAAGGGCGCAGGGUGGAUGCCAUGGCACUGGACGCCGAAGAAAGACGUGGUAAGCUGCGAAAAGCCACGGGGAGCCGCAAGCAGGCUUUGAUCCGUGGAUGUCUGAAUGGGGAAACCCGGCGGAAGUAAUGUUCCGUCAUCCGUGAAUGAAUCCAUAGUUCACGAGAAGGGCACCCGGGGAACUGAAACAUCUAAGUACCCGGAGGAAAAGAAAGAAACAUCGAUUUCGUCAGUAGCGGCGAGCGAAAGCGAAAGAGCCCAAACCAUCCGACUACGGUUGGGUGGGGUUGUGGGUCAGCAACAUGUACGACGAUGCUUAGGAGAAGAGUUCUGGAAAGGACUUCCAAAGAGGGUAAGAGGCCCGUAUCCGAAAAGCAAAAUCGGCUAGCUGAUACCAGAGUACCACAGGACACGAGGAAUCCGGUGGGAAGCAGGAGGGACCACCCUCCAAGGCUAAAUACGAUCCAGUGACCGAUAGCGCAUAGUACCGUGAGGGAAAGGUGAAAAGAACCCCGGGAGGGGAGUGAAAAAGAACCUGAAACCCUGUGCUUACAAGCAGAGAGAGCACGAUUAAGUGUGAUCUCGUACUUUUUGUAGAACGGACCGGCGAGUUACGUUAUGCAGCGAGGUUAAGAACUGAAGGUUCGGAGCCGAAGCGAGAGCGAGUCUGAAUAGGGCGUAGAGUUGUAUGACGUAGACCCGAAACCGGGUGACCUAUCCAUGGGCAGGUUGAAGUGGUGGUAGAACACCAUGGAGGACCGAACCAGACGUCCGCUGAAAAGGGCGGGGAUGACCUGUGGAUAGGGGAGAAAUUCCAAUCGAACCCGGAUAUAGCUGGUUCUCCUCGAAAUAGCUUUAGGGCUAGCCUCGAGUCAAGAUACACGGAGGUAGAGCACUGAAUGUUCUAGGGGCCUUCACCGGUUACCGAAAACUAUCAAACUCCGAAUGCCGUGCAAUCAUACUCGGGAGUCAGACUACGAGUGAUAAGAUCCGUGGUCGAAAGGGAAACAGCCCAGACCUACAGCUAAGGUCCCAAAUUACAGAUUAAGUGGAGAAGGAUGUGGAGCUGCAUAAACAGCUAGGAUGUUGGCUUAGAAGCAGCCACUCAUUUAAAGAGUGCGUAAUAGCUCACUAGUCGAGUGACUCUGCGCCGAAGAUAAACGGGGCUGAAAUCUACUACCGAAGCUUAGGAAUUACGUUUAGUAAUUGGUAGAGGAGCAUCGUAUACGGGCAGAAGCUGUGCUGAAAGGCAUGGUGGACUGUAUAGGAGAGAGAAUGUUGGCAUGAGUAGCGUAAGGCAGGUGAGAAUCCUGUCCGCCGAAAAUCUAAGGUUUCCUGAGGAAGGUUCGUCCUCUCAGGGUUAGUCGGGACCUAAGCCGAGAGCGAAAGCUGUAGGCGAUGGACAACAGGUUGAGAUUCCUGUACCACCGAAAGUUGAUUGAACGAAGUGGGGACACAGAAGGAUAAGCUGAGCGCGCCGCUGGUAGAGCGCGUCUAAGCACCAAGGGAGAUGGCCAAGGCAAAUCCGGGCUGUCAAUUCUGAGGUGUUAUGGGGAGGGAAAAGAAGUACCGAAGCAGCAGAUUUCACGCUGUCAAGAAAAGCCGCUAGUGAGACCGUAGGUGCCCGUACCGCAAACCGACACAGGUAGAUGAGGAGAGAAUCCUAAGGUGAGCGAGAGAACUAUUGUUAAGGAACUCGGCAAAAUAACCCCGUAACUUCGGGAGAAGGGGUGCCUGCGAAAGCAGGCCGCAGUGAAAAGGCCCAGGCGACUGUUUACCAAAAACACAGGUCUCUGCGAAAGCGAAAGCUGAAGUAUAGGGGCUGACGCCUGCCCGGUGCUGGAAGGUUAAGGGGAAGUGUUAUCGAAAGAGAAGCACAGAACUUAAGCCCCAGUAAACGGCGGCCGUAACUAUAACGGUCCUAAGGUAGCGAAAUUCCUUGUCAGGUAAGUUCUGACCCGCACGAAAGGCGUAACGAUCUGGGCACUGUCUCAACAAUAGACUCGGUGAAAUUGUAGUACCGGUAAAGAUGCCGGUUACCCGCAGCAGGACGGAAAGACCCCGUGGAGCUUUACUGUAGUCUGAUAUUGGAUUUCGGCGUUGCAUGUACAGGAUAGGUGGGAGACUGAGAGGCUAGUACGCCAGUAUUAGCGGAGUCACCGUUGGGAUACCACCCUUGUAACGUUGAGGUUCUAACCGCGUGCCGUGACCCGGUGCCGGGACAGUGUCAGAUGGGCAGUUUGACUGGGGCGGUCGCCUCCCAAAGAGUAACGGAGGCGCCCAAAGGUUCCCUCAGAAUGGUUGGAAAUCAUUCGAAGAGUGUAAAGGCAGAAGGGAGCUUGACUGCGAGACCUACAAGUCGAGCAGGGACGAAAGUCGGGCUUAGUGAUCCGGUGGUACCGAGUGGAAGGGCCAUCGCUCAACGGAUAAAAGCUACCCCGGGGAUAACAGGCUAAUACCCCCCAAGAGUCCACAUCGACGGGGGUGUUUGGCACCUCGAUGUCGGCUCGUCUCAUCCUGGGGCUGAAGUAGGUCCCAAGGGUUGGGCUGUUCGCCCAUUAAAGAGGUACGCGAGCUGGGUUCAGAACGUCGUGAGACAGUUCGGUCCCUAUCCGCUGUGGGCGAGGGAUAUUUGAGUGGAGCUGCCCUUAGUACGAGAGGACCGGGGUGGACAUACCGCUGGUGCACCGGUUGCAGUGCCAACUGCAUAGCCGGGUAGCUAAGUAUGGAAGGGAUAAGCGCUGAAAGCAUCUAAGUGCGAAGCCCCCCACAAGACAAGAUAUCCUGACCGAAAGGUGAGAGAUCUCUGGAAGACGAACAGUUAGAUAGGUCGGAGGUGGAAGUGCAGUAAUGUAUGGAGCUGACCGAUACUAAUCGAUCGAAAACUUAACCAA